GACCUUCGAAAAGACCACUGGCAGUGGCACACCACACCACACUCUGUCUGUUAAUAUAAUAUUAGCGUACUUUGUUGUUGGAGGUUGACAUGAAAGAUCCUACUUGGGUCAGCCAAAUUCCAAUCACACAAGUCCCACCAGAAGCAAUCUAUUAUUGAUCAAUGGCUUCUGUGCAAAUCCUGUGUGCAUGCACUUGUCAGGUUCAACUCCAGGGUUCCAUUAGAUAUAGAUAUGAUUAUGGUUACCCCCAUCACCAUGACAAGAUCAGUAAGCACAGGUAUUAUUCUAUCAGAGUAGUUGAUAGUGGGAAUGAGAUGGUUCUUUCAAAUUUAGAGGAAGAGAAAAGGAAUUUGAGAGUGUUGGUGGCUGGUGGAGGAAUUGGUGGCCUUGUGUUGGCUCUGGCUGCAAAGCAUAGAGGGUAUGAAGUGAAGGUGUUUGAGAAGGAUUUGAGUGCUGUUAGAGGAGAAGGUAGGCACCGUGGCCCAAUUCAACUAUUGAGUGGUGCUCUUGCUGUGUUGGAAACCAUCGAUCAGAGUGUUGCAAGGCAGAUAAUGGAGGCUGGCUGUGUUACUGCCAAUAGGACUAAUGGCCUUGCUGAUGGUCUAUCUGGGGACUGGUUCAGUGUGUUUGAUCUUUUCACUCCUGCUUCAAGGAAAAGGCUUCCUCUUACCCUAGUCAUAUGUAGAAUGGCACUGCAAGAUAUAUUAGUGAAUAAAGUUGGUUCCAACAUAAUUAGAAACAAAUCUAAAGUCGUGGAUUUUAUUCAGGAACCUAACAAGGUUAGAGUGAUCCUUGAAAAUGGAGAGCAACAUGAUGGUGAUAUUUUAAUAGGAGCAGAUGGAAUAUGGUCAGAAGUGCGUUCAAAACUCUUUGGGCAGCAAGAAGCAAAUUACUCGGGUUUCACAUGCUACAGUGGAUUAACAAGCUAUGUGCCCCCAUAUAUUGAUACCGUUGGGUAUCGGGUGUUCUUGGGCUUGAACCAGUACUUUGUUGCUUCAGAUGUUGGCCAUGGGAAGAUGCAGUGGUAUGCUUUCCAUGGGGAACCCCCUUCAAGUGACCCUUUCCCAGAAGCAGGUAAGAAGAAGAGGCUUUUGGAUCUCUUUGGUAAUUGGUGCGAUGAAGUGAUUGCACUCAUAUCAGAAACACCAGAACAUAUGAUUAUACAGAGGGAUAUAUAUGACAGAGACAUGAUCAACACUUGGGGAAUUGGGAGAGUGACUUUGUUAGGUGAUGCAGCACAUCCAAUGCAACCAAAUCUUGGUCAAGGAGGGUGUAUGGCAAUAGAGGAUUGUUACCAACUGAUACUUGAGCUAGACAAGGUUGCUAAACAUGGCUCUGACGGGUCUGAAGUUAUCUCAGCUCUUAGAAGAUAUGAGAAGAAAAGAAUCCCCCGAGUUAGGGUGUUACACACAGCUAGCAGGAUGGCAUCGCAAAUGCUAGUCAACUACCGGCCUUAUAUUGAAUUUAAAUUUUGGCCUCUAUCAAAUGUAACAACUAUGCAGAUAAAGCACCCUGGCAUUCAUGUAGCUCAAGCCCUUUUCAAGUUCACUUUUCCACAAUUUGUUACUUGGAUGAUUGCUGGCCAUGGGUUGUGGUGAACACUCAUGCAACUUGAAAAUAAAAAGGGCUCAACAAUUUUAACAUGAUGGUGGGCGAUUGAGUGUUUGUGAAGUUAAGACCGUGUCGUCAAGCAUCAGUAACGAGAGCUUCAUAUUCUAAGUUGACUAAAAGAUUUUUUGGGCCAUUUCAAAUACUGCGGAAGGUGAGUCCCUUGGUUACCAACUUCAACUACCACCUAACUCCCACAUUCAUCUAGUGUUCCACCACUCUCUUCUCAAGCCAUCCCACCUAAUACGCCUAGUCUAAUUGUAGAGCUACCACCUUCAUCAGUCAACAAUGAACCCAUUGUAUCGCCUUUAGCAAUCCUCAACACUAAAUUGGAGUCCUCAAAUGGAGCACCUAAGCUAUUGGUCUUGAUUUAGUGGAAAGGAUUGCCCCUGAUGAUGCCUUGUGAGAAUCAUGGGAUGAUCUCAAAGCCAAGUAUCACCUUGAGGACAAGGUGCUUUUCGAAGGACAUGAUAAUGUUAGGGAAGGAACUAAACAACCUUCACCAGAAGCACAAAAAACAGAAUCACAGCUAGCAAACACGAAUCAAAGGCCAAAGAGGUUGGUGACCAAGCCACAAUACCUGAAUGAUUUCAUGUAACUAACCCCGACAAGGGGUGCUAACCUGGCAGAAUUCUAUUGGCCCUCAAGCACAUUCUGUUUGUCAUUUCUCCUUUACGGUUAUUUAUCAAGAUGCUAGAAUCUUCUUUCUGUUA
RNA transcript from Glycine soja, 2321 nucleotides. It is a transcript of the gene named zeaxanthin epoxidase, chloroplastic-like, with no coding region annotated. The transcript has 11 exons. NCBI's taxonomy places the organism in Eukaryota, Viridiplantae, Streptophyta, Magnoliopsida, Fabales, Fabaceae. The record is from RefSeq and is a predicted model, not a curated record.